UACGGGGGGGGCUAGCGUUGUUCGGAAUUACUGGGCGUAAAGGGCGCGUAGGCGGUCUGCUAAGUUGGAUGUGAAAACUCUGGGCUUAACCCAGAGCCUGCAUUCAAUACUGACAGGCUAGAGUUCUGGAGGGGAUAGCGGAAUUCCUGGUGUAGCGGUGAAAUGCGUAGAUAUCAGGAGGAACACCAAUGGCGAAGGCAGCUCGCUGGGACGGUACUGACGCUGAGACGCGAAAGCGUGGGGAGCAAACAGG
This 253-nucleotide ribosomal RNA is filed under the name uncultured bacterium. RNAcentral describes it as "partial 16S ribosomal RNA". It matches the Rfam family "Bacterial small subunit ribosomal RNA", at positions 524 to 776 of the family's 1533-position model. The record is from RNAcentral.